AGAUUAAUUAUAGCAGGGGCAGUGGCAGAACAAACUUCUCCACAGUGCCCAUGUCCUUCAACCAUGGGCUGAAGGGAGCACAUCUGAUGGUCUUGGGAGAGGCAAAAUGAGAGUAGAAGAGAAGCAGGAAGUUUUAGAGAAAGGAGAGAAGUGCAGUGUAUUCCAUAUGCCUGCUAACUUCAGUCCCGAUGCAUGAAGGAACGAACUCCUCUCUCAUUACUGCUGCUUUCACAUAGACCCUGAUUCUAUAUUUGACUUUGUGGGUGGGACCAUAUUUGUCAAGGAGGCUUUACACUGGUGCAGGGAUCUGUCCAUAUGAAGUCAACCACAGGAUCAGGGCCCUAGUAUGACUCUUCACUGUGCAUUCUGUUGGUGAAAUCAUAUAUACCAUUGAAUUAUGCUGGAACCUGCCUAUUGGAAUAAUAUCACAGACUACAAGAAGAAAACACUACAUGGUCCUGCAGAUUACUCUGUUACUGUAUUUUGUACUGCUUGCUCUACCACUAUCUGCAGCAAGUGAAGAUGCUUCAUUGUUAUCAGUGCAUUUAUCCUGGCUUCUAAUCCUGUCUAAUGCAUUCACUUCAGCCUAUUUGAGAAAUAAUGAAACCAAUGAACUUCAGAAUUUAACAUACGUUGGGUCACCUUUUUCUAUAGUGCCGAGUUAUCAUAAUUUAAUGCUUUUUAUGACCCACAUAAGCAUGAAGCAUCCAAACUCUGUCUAAGAAUGACAGAUCUGCAGAACAACAUAAUACCAAACCAAAGGCCAGAGUUUCAGAGCAGACUGGAUUUCAGUGUGAUAUGGAUUUGUUGACUUUGCAGUGGGACCAUGGUGAAGCGCCUUGGCUGUGCAGCUGUGACUCCCUGGCCAUGUCCCUGUUGGGAGUGCUGCUGCCAGUCCAUGGCCAGCAUCACAGAGAGAGCUAACAUAUAGAUGUCGGGGAGAUGCCACAGGGGCCUGCACUACCACCACCACAACCUCGCCACCACCCACUGCUGGAGCGACCCAGAGGUGCUGACUGCACCAGCGGUGCAGCCUUGAUGGGACCUGCCUGUUCCAAAAGCUGGUGGUGGCCUUGGAAUGUUGGGUGGUGGACCAGAAGAUGCAAUCUCCUUGUCCUUGAUCCAGGGGUGGAUCUAGAGAGGUUGAAGUGGUGUGAUCUCUCCCCCUCUUUUGGACCAUGCUGCAGGAACAUCAGCCAGUACUUUGUUCAAGUCUCUGAAAUAGUUCUGCCCUUGCAUUGAUGUGAUUAUAUGGACCUGGCAAUUGCUACAAUGAUCUAAGGAUGUGACACAUCCAGGAUUCUGUGCUGAGGCAUAACACUCUGCACCUGCAUUGGAUGGAAUGAAGCCCAGAAUAUUUCUCUGUUAUGGUGACUGAGCUGACUCUGUGGUCUUAAAGCGCAGUUCCAUGUGACUAUAUAGAAAUGACUCCUUGUAUCCAGUUGACUAUACUGUCUCCUUUAGAAUGGACAAAUUCCUUCCUAGCUUAUAUUUCAGCUUUUUUCCUACUGUGAUGUCAACAAAACGGUAGAUGAGGAGAUAAGGCUGGCUGGCAUAAUUUAUUUAAACCUUUGAUAAAGUCCCUCACAAGAAAUAUUUAAGGAAACUAAGUAGCCAUAGAUUAAACACAGGCAUCCUGCCCUGACUUAGAAAUUCCUAAGAGACAGAAACUAAGCAGUUGAAAUAAUGGCCAGUUAAUAGCCUGGCAAAAAUUUAACUGGGAGGUGCCACAUAGAGGACCCAGGUUUGAAAAAACUGAGAGAAAGACUGGAAUAAUUUGGAGUAGCAGUAAGUCUACCAUUUUUUGAGAGGAGUCUUCUACCUGAUUGCCAUCUUACCACAUGAUACUAAGUGAAACGGUGAACUGUGCAUUUGAUCCAGAAGAACCAUGAAGGAGACAUGGAUAUAUUGGAAUAGUAUGAGGUGUUUUGGUAAGAGAAUAAAUCAUCUGACCCCAGCAUUCUUUCCUGCCUAGGCAGGGGGUCAGACUCGAUGAUCUGUUGAGGUCCCUUCCUACCCUAGCAUCUAUGAAUUUUAACAACUUGCGCAUCCUGAGAUCAGGAUGUAGGAUCAUAAUUCAACAUGGAAAAUAUUAUCUUGGUAUGAGAAGGAGGCCAACCCCUGGGAGGAGUAACCAGUAUUACCUAUAUCCAGUGACUGAAGGCAGAGAAGAUGUUGUGAUAAAGCAGGGUAUUGUAAAGGCAAUCUUGAAGAUACUUUGCAAAGUACUGAGGUCAGUUUAGAAAUGUAUCCAAAUUUCUGUCUUCUUUAUCACAUAGAGAAAAUGACAUCAAUGUGAAUGUAAAGAGUGUUCAAUUGGCAAAAAAUUGUGGUUUUGAUAUAUUUUUGGGAAAUAAAAAUUUCCUUCACUUGGAGCUUGCAACAAACGGCUUCUAAAUUCAUGUAGAUUAUUUUGAAAGGUGCGGAGUAAGUAUUUCGUUAUUUGAGAGUAACAAGGGAGUUUCCUCCUAGUUUAUCUGAGAAAGGUAUUAACAAUUAGGAGUUGCAACUGUUUCUCCUGAAAUAGUCUUAGCUAUGUGGAAUCAGAAAAAAUAUAUGCCUUAAACUUUGAUUAUUUUAGUUAUAAGAUGACAUAACUGCUUUGUGGAGAAUUGCUGGCUCUGUAUAAUAGAA
Alligator sinensis (Chinese alligator) is the source of this 2634-nucleotide long non-coding RNA. RefSeq lists it as uncharacterized. NCBI's taxonomy places the organism in Eukaryota, Metazoa, Chordata, Crocodylia, Alligatoridae. The record is from RefSeq and is a predicted model, not a curated record. The transcript has 13 exons.